Molecule: transfer RNA, 58 nt
Filed under: Planctomycetota bacterium
Lineage: Bacteria; Pseudomonadati; Planctomycetota
Description: Planctomycetes bacterium tRNA-Phe
Rfam family: tRNA
About the family: Transfer RNA (tRNA) molecules are approximately 80 nucleotides in length.
Source: RNAcentral
UAGCUCAGUUGGUAGAGCACAGGACUGAAAAUCCUGGUGUCGGCGGUUCGAUCCCGCC